AUCCGGAUGGCACAAUGGUUAAUGCACCUGCCUAGUAAGCAGGAGAUCCGGGGUUCGAAUCCCGGUUCGGUACA
Molecule: non-coding RNA, 74 nt
Organism: Schistocerca americana (American grasshopper)
Lineage: Eukaryota; Metazoa; Arthropoda; Insecta; Orthoptera; Acrididae
Source: the annotation of a RefSeq genome assembly